GACGAACGCUGGCGGCGUGCUUAACACAUGCAAGUCGAACGGAAAGGCCCUGCUUUUGUGGGGUGCUCGAGUGGCGAACGGGUGAGUAACACGUGAGUAACCUGCCCUUGACUUUGGGAUAACUUCAGGAAACUGGGGUUAAUAUCGGAUAGGAGCUCCUGCUGCAUGGUGGGGGUUGGAAAGUUUCGGCGGUUGGGGAUGGACUCGCGGCUUAUCAGCUUGUUGGUGGGGUAGUGGCUUACCAAGGCUUUGACGGGUAGCCGGCCUGAGAGGGUGACCGGCCACAUUGGGACUGAGAUACGGCCCAGACUCCUACGGGAGGCAGCAGUGGGGAAUAUUGCACAAUGAGCGGAAGCCUGAUGCAGCGACGCCGCGUGCGGGAUGACGGCCUUCUGGUUGUAAACCGCUUUCGCCUGUGACGAAGCGUGAGUGACGGUAAUGAAUAAAGAAGCACCGGCUAACUACGUG
Molecule: ribosomal RNA, 468 nt
Filed under: uncultured bacterium
Lineage: Bacteria
Description: partial 16S ribosomal RNA
Rfam family: Bacterial small subunit ribosomal RNA
Source: RNAcentral